AGAUGUGAGGGUGAUCUGGCUGCAACAUCUGUCACCCCACUGACCACCAGGGUUGAUUCACCUGAUCUGGCUGGCACCCCCUUCCUCCCUCACCACCGCUCCCUGUGCGUCCCUUCCAAGGCUGUGUGCUUGGUGGAAGAGGACAGCCUUCCACGAAUAGAGACAGGCCACGAGUAGCUGCGCUCCCUUGCUAAAACCUCCAAACAAGCUCUAAAGAAUAGAGAACCUUCCAAUAAAGGGGAUAGGAUACAGAACUAUGGUGGUGGGAAUUGUAUGGAAUUGUACCUCUCUU
Erinaceus europaeus (western European hedgehog) is the source of this 292-nucleotide unclassified non-coding RNA. Its record names the gene 7SK. It matches the Rfam family "7SK RNA". Rfam says of the family: 7SK was discovered as an abundant small nuclear RNA in the mid-70s but a possible function has only recently been suggested. The record is from Ensembl. NCBI's taxonomy places the organism in Eukaryota, Metazoa, Chordata, Mammalia, Eulipotyphla, Erinaceidae.